RNAcentral lists this non-coding RNA (23 nucleotides) under Cricetulus griseus (Chinese hamster). The record is from RNAcentral. Lineage: Eukaryota; Metazoa; Chordata; Mammalia; Rodentia; Cricetidae.
CUUGGAGAGGCUGGAGCAUCUGA